This 460-nucleotide ribosomal RNA is filed under the name uncultured bacterium. RNAcentral's name for it is "partial 16S ribosomal RNA". It matches the Rfam family "Bacterial small subunit ribosomal RNA", at positions 338 to 795 of the family's 1533-position model. The record is from RNAcentral.
CCUACGGGUGGCAGCAGUGAGGAAUAUUGGUCAAUGGACGAGAGUCUGAACCAGCCAAGUAGCGUGAAGGAUGACUGCCCUAUGGGUUGUAAACUUCUUUUAUAUGGGAAUAAAAUGUUCCACGUGUGGGAUUUUGUAUGUCCCAUAUGAAUAAGGAUCGGCUAACACCGUGACAGCAGCCGCGGUAAUACGGAGUAUCCGAGCGUUAUCCGGAAUUAUUGGGUUUAAAGGGCGCGUAGGUGGAUUGUUAAGUCAGUUGUGAAAGUUUACGGCUCAACCGUAAAAUUGCAGUUGAAACUGGCAGUCUAGAGUACAGUAGAGGUGGGCGGAAUUCGUGGUGUAGCGGUGAAAUGCUUAGAUAUCACGAAGAACACCGAUUGCGAAGGCAGUUCACUGGACUGCAACUGACACUGAGGCUCGAAAGUGUGGGUAUCAAACAGGAUUAGAUACCCCUGUAGUC